RNAcentral lists this ribosomal RNA (246 nucleotides) under uncultured bacterium. Its description in RNAcentral is "partial 16S ribosomal RNA". It matches the Rfam family "Bacterial small subunit ribosomal RNA", at positions 524 to 770 of the family's 1533-position model. The record is from RNAcentral.
UACGAAGGGGCUAGCGUUGUUCGGAUUUACUGGGCGUAAAGCGCACGUAGGCGGAUUGUUAAGUCAGGGGUGAAAUCCUGGAGCUCAACUCCAGAACUGCCUUUGAUACUGGCAAUCUCGAGUCCGGAAGAGGUGAGUGGAACUCCUAGUGUAGAGGUGGAAUUCGUAGAUAUUAGGAAGAACACCAGUGGCGAAGGCGGCUCACUGGUCCGGUACUGACGCUGAGGUGCGAAAGCGUGGGGAGCA